UGGUUUACCAGACCCGGAAGGCGCGGGCCUUAGUGGCGGACGGGUGAGUAACGCGUGGGGAACCUGCCCGUACCGGGGGAUAACACCUGGAAACAGGUGCUAAUACCGCAUAACAGAAGGGGACGCAUGUUUCUUCUUGAAAACUCCGGUGGUACGGGAUGGACCCGCGUCUGAUUAGCUGGUUGCGGGGUAACGGCCCACCAAGGCGACGAUCAGUAGCCGGCCUGAGAGGGCGGACGGCCACAUUGGGACUGAGACACGGCCCAAACUCCUACGGGAGGCAGCAG
RNAcentral lists this ribosomal RNA (287 nucleotides) under uncultured bacterium. RNAcentral's name for it is "partial 16S ribosomal RNA". It matches the Rfam family "Bacterial small subunit ribosomal RNA", at positions 73 to 354 of the family's 1533-position model. The record is from RNAcentral.